This 491-nucleotide long non-coding RNA is filed under the name Homo sapiens (human). RNAcentral describes it as "HSALNT0314098". The record is from RNAcentral. Lineage: Eukaryota; Metazoa; Chordata; Mammalia; Primates; Hominidae.
CUUUUUAAGUCAUGUAUUUGAAUUUUAUAAGGAGAAAAACGGAAGUUCUACUGGAGAGAUUAGAGAAGACCUGAGUCUCACAUACAACCAGGUUGUAACUCUUUUCUUCACCUCCCCUCUCUCAGUCAUCCAGAGAUCAAGGUGUGUUCACCCCUCCAACUUCACAGUGCUGAUCCUGUAUUAUGAUGUAAGUAGAGGCGAGGCUGUGAUUUCUGAGCCCCAAUCCCUUUAGUAUAGAGAUCACAACCUGAAAUGCCUGUGAAGGUAAAGUAAAUGAGAGAACUGGGCCAGAUGGGGAGCAUGGUGACUUGGAGAUUUAUGCCCUGCCUAAAGAGAGCAUCCAAUAAAGCAAGUCUUCCAACAGACUGAGAGGUGGGAGACUGGGGCUUGGUCCUGUUGGCCUCCAGCAGCUGUGUGACCUGAAUGAGCCAUUGACCCGGUACAAGCUGCAACAUCCUCAGCCACAUUAAUAAACAUGUGAGGCCACUAAA